UACGAAGGGGGCUAGCGUUGCUCGGAAUCACUGGGCGUAAAGCGCACGUAGGCGGGUCUUUAAGUCAGGGGUGAAAUCCCGGAGCUCAACUCCGGAACUGCCUUUGAUACUGGAGAUCUUGAGUCCGGGAGAGGUGAGUGGAACUCCGAGUGUAGAGGUGAAAUUCGUAGAUAUUCGGAAGAACACCAGUGGCGAAGGCGGCUCUCUGGGACGUGACUGACGCUGAGACGCGAAAGCGUGGGGAGCGAACAGG
RNAcentral lists this ribosomal RNA (253 nucleotides) under uncultured bacterium. RNAcentral describes it as "partial 16S ribosomal RNA". It matches the Rfam family "Bacterial small subunit ribosomal RNA", at positions 524 to 776 of the family's 1533-position model. The record is from RNAcentral.